Molecule: ribosomal RNA, 253 nt
Filed under: uncultured bacterium
Lineage: Bacteria
Description: partial 16S ribosomal RNA
Rfam family: Archaeal small subunit ribosomal RNA
Source: RNAcentral
UACCAGCACCCCGAGUGGUCGGGACGAUUAUUGGGCCUAAAGCAUCCGUAGCCGGUUCUGCAAGUCCCCCGUUAAAUCCACCUGCUUAACAGAUGGGCUGCGGAAGAUACUAUAGAGCUAGGAGGCGGGAGAGGCAAGCGGUACUCGAUGGGUAGGGGUAAAAUCCGUUGAUCCAUUGAAGACCACAAGUGGCGAAGGCGGCUUGCCAGAACGCGCUCGACGGUGAGGGAUGAAAGCUGGGGGAGCAAACCGG